GUCCAGGGGCGGGAAUCGAACCCACAACCUUCUGCUUACCGGGCAGGUGCCAUGUCCACUAGGCUUCCCUGGA
Molecule: non-coding RNA, 73 nt
Organism: Cordylochernes scorpioides
Lineage: Eukaryota; Metazoa; Arthropoda; Arachnida; Pseudoscorpiones; Chernetidae
Source: the annotation of a GenBank genome assembly